ACUCGGAAUGAUUAUAAACAGUGCAUUUGCAAAAUUAAUGUUUAUUAAAGUAUGGUUUCAGCCAGUAUGCUACCGUCGGGGAAUUUACAACCCCCGGGGAAGUUGUCUCCGUAUUGGAAGAAGAAGGUGAAGUACUUCUAUUUAUAGAUCCCAUUCACGCCCAUAUAUACGUGUAUGUUAUUCCGGUAUUCCCAAUAACAGUCUGUGCUUACCGGAUGUAACUCUUCCUGGAAUGAUUAAAGAGUAUCUGUGCCAUGAUCAUGUGUGACGUAAAGCUUGUCUCGUGUGAUUACUUACCAGGAAUCGGAAUUAUCUCUAAAUCUUACCUGCGUACGGAAUGUGUACAAAAUAUAUAAACGAUGCGGAUUACGGACUCGGAGAACAUUGCACAUUAGAGUAACCUCCCUUGCACCGCGAACUUUGUGGAUCAUGACACUAAGAACUACUUCCCAUAUUAGGUCAGCAUACAUGCAGUAUAUAACCAUCAUAUUUAUGACAAGUAGUUGAUGUCAGUGAAUGACUGGUGCUGAUCAUUAAUUGGCAAAAACUUUUAAAUGAAAAUUUGAGAAAAGUUUACGAGCCGACGAACGUUUGGAGUGAAUGGCAACGCACGUGCACAGGUAACCGGAUCCACACCUGGAAUAAGUCUACACGGAUAAAUCCAUGUUUUAUGACUGCAGUGUGGCUACAGAUAAUCUGGAUCAAUUGAUAGACCAUGGACAAGCUUUGUUCCCCAUGGAAAUACUUAAUAUUUUCUAUUACAAUUGUAAAUUGCCUGCAUCCAGGGGCAUGUUGGUUUAUGUGGACAAAACGGUUCGUCAGCUUUCAAAUGUAAUACUUCAAACACGACUCUUGACGGACCUGCAAAUGUUAAUACAGGCCUUGGAAGUCUUUGC
Long non-coding RNA from Pecten maximus, 896 nucleotides. RefSeq lists it as uncharacterized. NCBI's taxonomy places the organism in Eukaryota, Metazoa, Mollusca, Bivalvia, Pectinida, Pectinidae. The record is from RefSeq and is a predicted model, not a curated record. The transcript has 3 exons.